This 455-nucleotide long non-coding RNA is filed under the name Homo sapiens (human). RNAcentral describes it as "HSALNT0157977". Lineage: Eukaryota; Metazoa; Chordata; Mammalia; Primates; Hominidae. The record is from RNAcentral.
UUCGACUCAUGUCCCUGGCUAGGGCUGAGAUUUCUAGGAGGAGGAAUACAGGUGGAAAUGAGCAGCUCUAUGUUAUGACAAAUCAGUCGACGAGUAUCUAUUCUCCACCUCCUUGGUGUCUGGCGCUGUGUGAGGCACAGGCAGCGUAAGGGUGAAUAAGGUACAAAGAACCCUGCUGUCACUGAGCUGUUAGCUGAGAAGGUAGAGAGGACAUGAAGCCAAUCAUUACAAGGCAUCCCAAAAGAUAAAUGAACAAGUGGCAUGGAGUUGUGGCCACGCUUGUGGAGUAUGAGCUCAGGCUAUUCCCCUUCAAAUACUGAUUCAAGACGACAGGAGAUGAUCUUGAGCAGGAUGCAGAAGUUUCUGAGCCUGAAUUUCCCUAAUUGUAAAAUGGGAGAAUUUCUAGUAGCUCCCUGAAAGCACUGAAUGAGAAGUAAAUGUAUUAAUACUUGUAA